RNAcentral lists this small RNA (129 nucleotides) under Salmonella sp. 32070601201500089SM. RNAcentral's name for it is "RtT sRNA". It matches the Rfam family "RtT RNA". From Rfam's summary of the family: This family represents a bacterial cis-regulatory element known as RtT RNA. The exact function of RtT is unknown although it is thought that it may be involved in changing the cellular response in relation to amino acid starvation. Lineage: Bacteria; Pseudomonadati; Pseudomonadota; Gammaproteobacteria; Enterobacterales; Enterobacteriaceae. The record is from RNAcentral.
UCUACCCAUGCGGGGAAGGAUGAGAAGCUUCGACUAAGGUUCGAUUCGAGCGCAGCGAGAAAGCGUUGCCGCAGGCAACGACCCGAAGGGCGAAGCGCGCAGCGCUGAGUAAUCCUUCCCCCACCACCA